GUGCUCGCUUCAGCAGCACAUGUACUAAAAUUGAAAUGAUACAGAGUAGCCUAGCAUGGCCCCAGUGUAAGGAUGACACGCAAAUUCGUAAGCGUCCAUAUUUUUUA
Choloepus didactylus (southern two-toed sloth) is the source of this 107-nucleotide small nuclear RNA. The record is from RefSeq and is a predicted model, not a curated record. Lineage: Eukaryota; Metazoa; Chordata; Mammalia; Pilosa; Megalonychidae.